RNAcentral lists this unclassified non-coding RNA (246 nucleotides) under fungal sp. RNAcentral's name for it is "partial internal transcribed spacer region". The stretch from base 1 to 46 matches the Rfam family "Eukaryotic small subunit ribosomal RNA", at positions 1786 to 1831 of the family's 1831-position model. Lineage: Eukaryota; Fungi. The record is from RNAcentral.
AAGUCGUAACAAGGUCUCCGUUGGUGAACCAGCGGAGGGAUCAUUACAGAGUUGCAAAACUCCCAACCAUUGUGAACCUACCUCACCGUUGCUUCGGCGGGUGGCCCGGGGCGACUCAGGCCGCGCCGGCCCCUCUUCAGGGGCCUGGCAAACCCGUCAGAGGACCGAAACUCUUCGUCAUCAGUGGCCUCUCUGAGUAACUUAUACAAUAAGUCAAAACUUUCAACAACGGAUCUCUUGGUUCUG